Molecule: ribosomal RNA, 480 nt
Filed under: uncultured bacterium
Lineage: Bacteria
Description: bacterial SSU rRNA
Rfam family: Bacterial small subunit ribosomal RNA
Source: RNAcentral
CAGGACGAACGCUGGCGGCGUGCCUAACACAUGCAAGUCGAACGGACGAGGGGAGGCUUGCUCCCCAAGUUAGUGGCGGACGGGUGAGUAACACGUGAGCAACCUGCCCUUCGGAGGGGGACAACAGCGGGAAACUGCUGCUAAUACCGCAUAAUGUAUUCUGGAGGCAUCUCCGGGAUACCAAAGAUUUUAUCGCCGAAGGAUGGGCUCGCGUCUGAUUAGAUAGUUGGUGGGGCAACGGCCCACCAAGUCUGCGAUCAGUAGCCGGACUGAGAGGUUGAACGGCCACAUUGGGACUGAGAUACGGCCCAGACUCCUACGGGAGGCAGCAGUGGGGAAUAUUGGGCAAUGGGGGCAAACCCCUGACCCAGCAACGCCGCGUGGAGGAAGAAGGCUUUCGGGUUGUAAACUCCUUUGACGAGGGACGAUGAUGACGGUACCUCGAAAACAAGCCACGGCUAACUACGUGCCAGCAGCGGC